This 253-nucleotide ribosomal RNA is filed under the name uncultured bacterium. RNAcentral's name for it is "partial 16S ribosomal RNA". It matches the Rfam family "Bacterial small subunit ribosomal RNA", at positions 524 to 776 of the family's 1533-position model. The record is from RNAcentral.
GACGGAAGGUGCAAGCGUUGCUCGGAAUCACUGGGCGUAAAGGGUGCGUAGGCGGCUGUGCAAGUCUGGCGUGAAAGCCCCGGGCUCAGCCCGGGAAGUGCGCUCGAAACUGCACGGCUCGAGUGCCGGAGGGGAGAGUGGAAUUCCUGGUGUAGCGGUGAAAUGCGUAGAUAUCAGGAGGAAUACCGGUGGCGAAAGCGGCCCCCUGGUUGGAUACUGACGCUGAGACGCGAAAGCGUGGGGAGCAAACAGG